This 851-nucleotide long non-coding RNA is filed under the name Pan troglodytes (chimpanzee). RNAcentral's name for it is "long non-coding RNA NONPTRT007928". Lineage: Eukaryota; Metazoa; Chordata; Mammalia; Primates; Hominidae. The record is from RNAcentral.
AUGAGCCAUUGCGCCCAGCCCAUGCUUACUAAUCAUCUUCCAUACCCCAGGCUCUAUGCUGGGGUUUGGGAACAUGCCUACUAUUAACAUAUGGUCCCUUCUCUCAGGGAGCCUGCAUCCUGUUGAGCUAAGUCACACAAACGCAAACUGUGGUGCCCAAGGAGAAGAAAAGGUGCUGAACUGUGCCUCAGAACAGGGGCAUGGUGACCCUGCCUGUAGGAGAGGAGUCUGCCAGGAUGAGGACGGGAGGGGUCUUACUCUCCUGCAAGAGACCACCCCUGGGGAUGAAGGACACCAGCCCUCCGGUGGCAUCAGUGCCAGAGGGGUCAGAGCACAGGGCUUCCACUGUUGCCUCUGCCAUCGCCUGCCUCCAGGUAAGUUCUUGCAGUUUUCUGAGCCUCCGUUUGCUGACCUGUAAAAUGAGGCUACUGAGCUGCUCUUAGGAUUUCGGGAUGAAGGCGCCAUCGCAGAACUGCAUUCCCUCUCCCUCCAGCUCCAAAAACUGAAUUCCGCCAAGGCAUAGAGCAGCUCUUAAGCCCAAGUUCACUGGGAUCACUACUGAAAGUGACAGGAGGCAGCCAAGUGUCUAGGCAGAUAGGACAGGUCCCAGUGAAACCCCACCUUCAAGCCAAAAAUAGCCCGAAAGCUGAAAGAUCAGACUGCUGGUCCUGGAGGAAACCCACCACCCAGAGUGAGAACUUCUGUUCCUGUUUGCCCACCCUUUCCUGGUUGAUUCUUUCUGAACAAUGCCUUUUAACCAGUCGAAUGUUGCCCUUUCCGAUACUAUCUAUGACCUGCCCCUCCCCUAUUCUGAGCCUAUAAAAUGUCCUGGACCCAGCUACACGAGGAGG